GUCCACGCCGUAAACGAUGGGCACUAGGUGUGGGUCUCUAACCAACGAGAUCCGCGCCGUCGCUAACGCAUUAAGUGCCCCGCCUGGGGAGUACGGUCGCAAGACUAAAACUCAAAGGAAUUGACGGGGGCCCGCACAAGCAGCGGAGCGUGUUGCUUAAUUCGAUGCUACGCGAAGAACCUUACCAAGGCUUGACAUAUACAGGAAUAUGGCAGAGAUGUCAUAGCCGCAAGGUCUGUAUACAGGUGGUGCAUGGUUGUCGU
Molecule: ribosomal RNA, 263 nt
Filed under: uncultured bacterium
Lineage: Bacteria
Description: partial 16S ribosomal RNA
Rfam family: Bacterial small subunit ribosomal RNA
Source: RNAcentral